This 497-nucleotide ribosomal RNA is filed under the name uncultured bacterium. RNAcentral describes it as "partial 16S ribosomal RNA". It matches the Rfam family "Bacterial small subunit ribosomal RNA", at positions 28 to 507 of the family's 1533-position model. The record is from RNAcentral.
GAUGAACGCUGGCGGCGUGCCUAAUACAUGCAAGUCGAGCGAACUGACGAGAAGCUUGCUUCUCUGAUGUUAGCGGCGGACGGGUGAGUAACACGUGGAUAACCUACCUAUAAGACUGGGAUAACUUCGGGAAACCGGAGCUAAUACCGGAUGAUAUUUUGAACCGCAUGGUUCAAAAGUGAAAGACGGUCUUGCUGUCACUUAUAGAUGGAUCCGCGCUGCAUUAGCUAGUUGGUAAGGUAACGGCUUACCAAGGCAACGAUGCAUAGCCGACCUGAGAGGGUGAUCGGCCACACUGGAACUGAGACACGGUCCAGACUCCUACGGGAGGCAGCAGUAGGGAAUCUUCCGCAAUGGGCGAAAGCCUGACGGAGCAACGCCGCGUGAGUGAUGAAGGUCUUCGGAUCGUAAAACUCUGUUAUUAGGGAAGAACAUAUGUGUAAGUAACUGUGCACAUCUUGACGGUACCUAAUCAGAAAGCCACGGCUAACUACGUG